UCCCCCAAACCUCUGUGUGCCUGGGCGUGCUUAUCGAACGGUGAUUGGAGCACCAACGUGUACGCUCCGCCAUGCACCAGCCCGUUCGCGAAGACAACCUUAUCGGCCCCUUCAUCUCUAGUAAGGAAACACACGCGCGAAUCACCCUACCCUCUGUUGCGCGUAGCAUCGAUCAUCCGAGUGUUGGGAGUCUCGGACCACUGGGCGGGUCAUCGUCGGGGUAGGCCCCGCCGCCCAGCUCUGUUGCGCCGCCGCUCUGGUGAACGUCGGGAUGGGAAGAUGACACUGGUGUACCAUUGGAUCGGUCUCGAGCGGACGAUAUUAGAGUUUAGUGCCGCUUGGUCGGAUGCGUUUUGAGCCAUCAAUCUCAAGAUAAACGAUCACAAAUGGAUUCAGUUGUGAAAGGUUUGGAACCAUUAGAUUGCCAAUGGACGUGCGAGAUCACAUGUUGGAUAACCCUUCAACCUUUUAAUCUGGGCGGUCGGGUUUAGAUCCGACGGUUGAGAUGUGCCCGUACCCCUUCGGUUGGGGCAAAUUCAUUAAGAGACCCUAUAGUUCUCUAUAAUCAACUUGUGGUCCCACCUAGUCUUAGAACUAUCGCAACUAGGUCCAGAAAUUUGCGUGCGACCCCUCGAGAUUCUGGAGAUUUGUGGCCGCAACCCAAAAGGUUAAUAAAAUGGUUAAAAUCAAUAAGGAAAAUGAUUCUUAGUUUAAAAAUAAUUCAUGAAACUGUUUAAUUCAUAUUUAAUUCGUUUUAACUCCAAAUUAAUUCAUUCCAGUUGCAUUAGACUCAAAUUAAUAUUGUUUAUCAUCCAGUAACUUUAUUUUGUUAUGAAAUUGGGAUUAAAAUUUAUGCACUUGGUUCAUUUUAAUCCAACACUUAAAACUUCGAAAAUCCAUAACUUCUUCGUUUUAAUUCCGAUUUGGUCCGUUCAAGUCGCGCUAACUUCAUAUGAAUAUUUACUAUGCACUAACAACAUCAUUUAUACCAUAUCGCAUAAUUUUACAGUUAGAUAUUUGCUUAACCUAUGUCUACUAGAUUAACUCUUCUAAUCAAAGCUAACAUGUCCAUAUAUAUAAAUUUGGUUAAAAUAUGAUCUCUAGUCAUGUUAUAAUUAAGAUUAAAGUUGAAUUAAUUAUUUCUUUAGAUUAUCUUUAUAAAAUCAAAACAAGACCUAGUUUUAAUCACUUACACACAUGGGUCUCGAACCCACAAUCUCAUAGAAUAUUCUCAUGCAGUUUGUUCUUAUGUUUGGCGUGAUGUUAUUUUGCUAAUACCCUGUUUGUUUGUAUUGCUAUGACUAGCGCGAGGUUGCGAGUCACCUGAAGAGCAAGUUGGUACCUGGAAUCUCAAGUCCCAGGCAAGUUGUGCCCUUGAUCACUUCUUUUUACCCAAUCAUGUUCUCAUUAAUCAUAAUGAUCUGCAUAGGUUAAUUUUGAUGGGAUCCAAUAGGUCACCCUAGUUUGGCUAUCUUUAUACCUUGUUUACCACUAAAUUUUUUGGGUAGUACAUGUUAUUGCUUUAUGUGGUUUUGGAUAUGGAGAUACACAUUAUUCAUGAUUCUACUUUUAUUAUCAGUUUGUUAUUUACUAUUCAUGAUAAGAUCAUUAUGUUAAUUGGAACAUGGAGAACCACCCGAAAAAACAGUGCUACCAUAAGGGUGGUAUGGGACGUCCUUGGCUGACUAAUUAGGAAAGCUAGUGGAGGACUACCUUACCCAAAAGGGGCAAUGGCAGUAGGGGAGUGGUCAUUGUGGGGAUGCCCUUGGGUUGAUUUUGCUGAGAUGGCGGUCACGCGAGGGGUCCCUGCAUUGGAGCUUCAUAGAAACUGUACCGGGUUUUCUGAAGCUAGUGGAAGUUUGUAAAGGCCUCGUAGUGUUACCCUGCCUCGCUUCCUUGGUAGAGGUGUAUGGGAGUCGCAAUCCCUUAGCAGAUGGGUAACAUGACUUGUGGGUAAAUAUGUGCAACCACUACAGAGUGUAAAACUGGUAUACUAGCCGUGCUCACGGUCAUGAGCAGCUCGGACAAUCACAUGAUUAAUUUAUGGAAUUAAAUUCAAUUUGUCAUUUGCAUCGCAUUGGGAUUUAUUAUUAUUUUGACUUACUAUUACUAUAGUUUGGUAUUUACUUACAUUUAGUAAAUUCUAAUAAAAUUUUGACUAACUUAUAAAAUCAAUGCUCAGCUUUAGCCGUCCUCUUUGGUAAGCCUUACACUUCACAUGAGCUCCCGCCUUUGGUGAGUACAUGCACAUUAUUUCCCACAACUUGUUGAGCGAUGAACGUAUGUGAGCUCACUCUUGUUAUCUCACACCCCCAUAGGUCAAGAACAGGUACUGCAGGAUGAGGCGCAUGGAGGAUGCUACGAUGUGUUUGUGAGAGGUCUAGGUCGUCAUCUCCCAGUCAACUUUGGGUUGAUGGAUCAUUGUCUCCUUACAAUGUAAUUAUUUAUUUAUUUUGUACAAAACUCCUAUUACAUAGUAAAGAUGUGACAUUUGUUUCUGUACCAUGAUUCAUCAUAUGUGUGAGACUUGGUCCCAGCACACCUGGUGCCCCGAAACCCGGGUGUGACAGAAGUGGUAUCAGAGCGGAUGUUGACUGUAGGAUGAAACCUAGAUAGAUAUGAACAACCCUUACAUACUUAUCUUUGCUACUCUGAUCCUUUCUAAACUUUCCUUAAUAUUUUCUCAUCCACUGUUGCUUUACUCUGAUUACUCUUACCUUUUCAUUCUAAAGACAAAAGUGGAUUUCACACUUUGAAAUCUCGUACCUAAAGUGACCUUUAGGAAUAGGACACCUAAUCUUAGGAACAAAAACAAAACUAUUUUUGUAGGUAUCUAUGUACUUGAAUGUUUGUUCUUAUGAUACUUGUCUGAUUUGGAUCUUUGGUUGAGUGAGAUGGGUUGUGGAGUAAUAUCCGCAAUUGCAUCUGCUUAUACACAUAGGCAUAAUAAUAAUGUUGGGAUUUAAUCUGCCUGGGCAAGUCAAUUCCAACAAGGGGGUGGGAUAAUGUGUUUGCAGAGUUUAGCAUGGAAUGCCAAAAGCUUAAUCUCUCGUAUGUGGGCACUGUACGGGGGUAUUUAUAGGUACUCGAGGGGCCGCCCGUCCCUGUCAAAGACGUUUAGACCCUCGAGUACCUGGUUUAUCCCCAGAAUAUUCCCACGAGGGGAGGUUACAGAUGGUCAUUAAGGUUAACCCUAUUACAGACGAGGCCCUUGUCGCACCUGACCCCACGGGGCCCAUCACUAUGGGCCGAAUCGCACAUGGGCCAACUUAGGCGGACGGGGGCGCGGGAGGCCCACAGACUUCGGCAGGGCCUUCAUCUAGCAACACCAUACCGAAGGGGGUCACACUGGUCUCUGUUUGGGCGACGCUCCUGGCUUGUUCUGGCGUGUUCUAUCGAUGUAGCCUUCGUCGGCGUGAUGAGAGGACGAAGUCAUGGAGCGAAGGGCAGUGUGUUCACCUUCGCCCCAACAUUUGUCGUCCGAGGGACCAGUUCGACUAAGUCAGCUGGUGUAAAGACGCCGCUAGAUGGUGAAGACGCUGCCCUCGCUCGAAGUGGUCCCGCGGGGGUUUUUUAAAUGUGACCAUUGAUGGACGUAUUACUAUUGGACUGCACGUUUCCCGAGGCGUCGCGUCGUGCCUGUAAAAGGCCAACCGCGACUGGGCCUGAUCUCGUCUUCCGUUUGCGCUAAAGAAACCCUUGCUUUUGUGAACUCCUCGCUUGCCCUCAUUUCUCUUCCGCUUCGGAACUCUGGCCCGCAUCAAGCAUACCGCGCGCCGCCGCUCACGGUACGUUGCAAUGUCUUCUUCUUCGUCUAUUGCAAGUGCGUCGUCGACCGCACCAUCGUCCGAGGAUACAUUGAGCGAUUUGGCGGUGAUGGAGCUGCAGCCUGGCCAUACCGUAGAGUUCGGUACCUCGAGGAUUUCCUUGGUUCGCGUGCUGGAGAUGCAGCGACUUGGGUACUUUGUUGACGGCGUCGGGCGGGUUCUGGGUGUAGAGGAGAUUCCCGAGCCUGAAGGUGAGUUGGUUGUUUUUGAGGCAUUUUUUGUCGCCGGCAUUCGCCUUUCGGUGCAUCGCUUCAUGGCGGAGGUGCUACGAAGGAUCGAAAUGCAGGUCCACCAGUUGAUGCCGAACGCCGUGGUUGCGCUGGUGAAGUAUGUUUGGGAGGUUACUUCAUACGGCGGACAACCGUCUGUGGAGGUCUUUGCCAAGAAUUAUUGCCUGCAUUGGCAGAAAAGGAAAAUAGGAAAUAAGAUUGCACAAUUUGGAUCGUGCACCUUCACACCGAGGACUGGAAAGACUUCGACGGAAGUCGUGGAGAUAGUCCCUUGCGCCAGGAACAAGUGGGGCAACUGGUGGGAUUUUUGGUUCUACGUGUCUCCAAGUGAUGUCGAAGACCUACCUGGCCUCCCUCCGGCCAUUUUAUGUUCACAUUGUUAUGUGGCGUUCCCUCAAUUUGAGGUGGCGGAGAAUGACGAGGACGAAGGGGCCCUUCGGUAUGCCGCCCACUUGAGUAGCGAGCGCGAUUUGGUUGAGGAAUUUAUCGGCUAUGGGGUUUGGCCCUUGGCACAUGGCUGGGUACUGGGAGAAGUAUGCCCCCGGUGGAUGCCAACCUUGGUCGACCAGUUUGUGCGAAGUCCUGCCCUCGUUGUGGAUUUACGUGGUUGGAACCCAGCCGCAUUUGUGCGCGAGGUGGAGGCCGAGGCUGUGAAGAUUGUGGGGAGAUAUGUGCCGAGGACGGAGACUCUGAGGAGUCGGGAUAUUCGCGGUUCGAAUGUUCAGUUGAACCGUGUUUUUGAGUUGAUCCAUUUGUCGUAUGUCGGCUACCCGGGGGUCGACAACGUCGAUGCUGCUGCUGUCCGCCAUGGGAAAAAGGUGGUGACGACGGUCGAUGAAGGCCCUUUGUGGGGAGCUGCGCCGAGCGCGGCCACCAAGAAGAGGAAAUUAGGUACAACGACUGAGGGGUUGAGGGCUUCCGAACAUUUUGCUGCAGAUUUAUUGGAGACAUGCGCGGUUCCCAGGGAGACGAUGUCUUCGCCCGAGCUCUGGGAAUCUUCUGUGCGAAUGCUAAAGGUUACCGGGGGUCGCUGGCCUAUGAAUGUUCCGAUUCCCCGGACGGCCGGCGAGGACAUGUUUACAUCUCGAUUAGCUCGUGAGAUGAAAAUUUUCCCUUAUGGACAGAAUGUUGCUGAUGUUGUAUCAGCAGUGAUGGACAAGGAUCGCCAAGACGCACCGCGAAAACGCUGGGCAUUCGCGAGGGUUGGGAACCCGCGGCGCGAGAUCAAAAUGGCACGGGCGAGCGCGAAGACUGCCGCCCCCGACGCCAGCGUGCCUCUGGUUGGUGCGCCUGGUUCCAGUGUGCCUACGGCUGGCGCGUCAGGCGCCAGCGUGCCGUUGCCUACCUUGCCCACACAAGAGCAAAGGCCGAUGUCACCACCGUGGACUGCUGAGACGACGGUGGGUGGCGCCGAAGUCUCCCUGGAUAUUUUCGUGGAGGACUACCUUAUGGGCGGGGUCGUGAUGUUUGACGCCCACACUGGGCGAGGACCCGUCGGUGAGUGUUUUUUUCUUUUUUUUGGUGGAGCCUGGUACUCUGACGUGACCAUGGUGCAGUAGCGGAGUCUAGGCAAUUGGCUGUUGUCCCAGCGCCGUUGGCGGCUGGCUUCGUUGUUGCGGCGGCUGGGUCGAAGGGGUCUACGCAGGACCCGUGGUCCAGGUUCUGCACCAGCGGCGAAAUUGCUUCGGUCGCUGCCGCGAAGGAUGUGGCUGGCUCAGUUGCGCAGCAACUGAAGCACGUGAGUAAUCUUUGCCUCUAGUGGUUGGUUUUUUAUAUUAUGACUUCAAUUUGACAGUCUUUGGUGCCAGGCGGCCACCUUCACCGAACAUGUCACAUCGGGGGUGCUGACCUCGGGGUUUGCUGCUGAAAGGCGACGGCUCGAGGGGAGGAUUGAGCGCCUCCAAACGCAGCAUACUAAGGCGGUACAAGACAAAUCAGCCGCGGAGAACAGGAGCCGCAACUUGCUUGAGAAGCUAUCAGCGACGGAGGCUGAGAAAGAGGAUCUCGCUCGCCGUCUUGCGGCAGAAAAGGAGAACGCGGAUAGGGCCCACACGGAAGCCUAGGCUGCCCGUGCCAAGGCCAACCUCGCCCUCCAACGUGCUACCAACGCAGAGUCGGAGCACAGGAGUCCUUGCAGCUAUCUGGACAGAGCGGUGGCCUCCACUUGCACAGGGGUCGGCCGAGCGCACAAGUUGCUCGUGGACACGUACCGCGAGCUUGGUGCGUGUACCGCCCCCUUUGACGCGUCUAGUGACGAGGUGGGCCUCCGCUUCCUCGGGUGGUUGCAUGAGGAGCUGGAGCUACUCCCAGCGAUUGUGAUGGGUCUCAUGUCCUUCGCCUCGCUCAUUACCUAUGAAGGAGCUGUGAAUGCCUUGUCUCGCGAGGGAUGCAGGCACAUGGAAGUUUUUGACUGAUUCAACGAGAACUUCGACCGUGGGAUCUUCCAGGUCAGAGAUGAGGUGUUAAAGCGGUCUGCUGGGGCGCUUUACGAUAGGAUGUGGGGCCCUCACGGCUGUGAUACCGUCUGGGAGAGGUCGGACCUGGCGCUAGAGCAGGUGCGUGAUGUGUUUUUUUGUUAAUAUAUAUUUGUAUGUUGUGCUAUUUCUAUAGAUGGCGAAUGAUGAAGAAGUCAACGACUUCGGAGGCCUAGAAAGCUCGGUGACCCGGGCGAGAGAUGUGAGGACGGAGGUUGGGGAGCAACCGGCUCCACUGACCAGCCUUUCGAGGACCCUACGAUGGUCGCUGUCCUGGCUGGCGAAGACCCUCCAGCGACAGCUGCGCUGGCUACCGAAGACCCUGUCACGCCGACCGCUCCUUCACAGGUGGCGGGAUCGUGUUAGGGGUGUUGGGUUUAGGACCUUUUUUAUGUGAUACUGAAAGUCGGUUGGUGCGUAGGUUCCAACGUCUGGGACUGCGCAAGCAACCCCUACUGAUGAUGUUAAUUUUGUGGCGACCACGAAUGCGAUGCCUGUUAGUGGAAAUUUGUCUAGUUUGGAAACUGGGUCUUGGUCGUCUGAUGUGGGUGAGUUUGAGAGUUCGUUUUCAUGGACUGAAGAGUCUUCGGAUGGGGAUUUGGAUUAUUUUGCUGCGUUGGAUGUGGCCACGGCGGAGUCCGUGCCGCGACUGGAAGGGUGCGAAGCGUCCGAUCCUCCGGCCGAGGCGAGGACCGAGGAGCCCCGCCGGCGCAGAGUGGUGUCGAAGCAUAGUGUUGGCAAGAUGUCACGAAGUGGUAGGCGUCGUCAGAUGGGGAUGGAGCAAACCCGCCUUCGGGUGGAUCGAGGUGGCCAACGAGAUUUGUUGUCCUUGUCGUCCAGGACGUGUAUCGGGGAGGGGGAUCUGCGGAAUCUUUUUUAUGUUGUUUAAUUUUUGGGAGGCGGGCCUUAUCCCGAAGGCUGAGCCAAUGUAGCGCGUUUGUUGCCCUCGCUCUUGUCUUGCGGUAGUGAGUGAAAACGCUGCCCUCCCCCGGCUCGCAAUAAAGAGGGAGGGCAAUAAAAUUGUUCUUGUUUGUGCAGUGUGGCUGGUGACCCUUCGCUUUGUGUAUGUAAACUAUGACAACAUUGUUUGUUGUUUGUGUAACAUGGUAGGUGGCCCUUUGCUGUGUGUAUGUAACCUUAUGACAAGAUUUGUUUGUUGUGAAGUGAAAUGGUGACUUCGCGUCGCGCAUAUGUUGUGUUUCUCCGGUUGCACCCUUAGGCGACUUUUGCAUGGAUUGGUCUUCGGUAAAGACUUCAUAUCGUGCACUUGUUGUGCUUGUCCAGCUGCACCCUUAGGCGACUUUUGCGCAGAUGCCUUUUAGUAAAGACUUUGUAUCGUGCACUUGUUGUGCUUGUUCGACUGCACCCUUAGGCAACUUUUGCGUGGAUGUUGUGACGGAACCUCCCAAGUCAUUAGGUCGACCUACAGUUGUCCUUGUCCAUCAAACCUCGGACAACCUUGUAGAUGCACCUGGUCACUUGACAAGUUUGGUAUCUGAAUUCUUUACCUCUCCCAAGAGCGUUUCACCCGUCACACAGAUAUUACAACACAUUGGAGGAACGAAUAUGCGGAAGCAGUUACAAUACUUAUUUUGUAUUAAAGUAUAGAAAGAGUAUUAUUAUUAUAGACCAGUAAUAUAUAAGAGUGCAGGAGUAAUGUUAUUACAACCCUGGGAGGCAAAAACCCCUCCCGCUUAAUAGUAAAAAGUUUUUAAAGGACACUUCCUCUCGAGGCUUCAAUCCUGGUUUUCUUCCUUGGGCACCACCUUGGAACAAAAGCAACAAAAAUUUGCUGCUUCCUCACCUACAACAACAUGGGUUCAAAAACCCUAAGUACGAAGUGUACUUUCGCAAGUCUUACCUGUCAAAAUAAAAGACUUUCAAGGAUAUGCUGGCUUGAGGGAGUCAAGGUAAGGCUUAAUCAAUAAUCAAGACUCUGUUUGCAAAAAUGCUUACUAAUAGUGGAUCCUUAAAAAUCCAGUUGUAUUAGCAAGUUGAGUCAUUACCUGAAUUCUAUAGUUCUUUCUACCCUAGUUCAAGCAAUUGUCCUAAACUAGCCAUUUCUUAUUUAUCAACCCUUCUUGUUCACUGGAAUACUACGUGUAAGUCAGUGACCAAGUCUUCAUGUCCGAGAAGUAACGGCGAUCCGAAUCGAUUAAUACUCAGCUGAGGAUCUCCAAUCACACAAUAUAUGUAGCACUUAACCCUUGCAUAUGUCAACUCGCCACCGGGGUUCUUAAGACCAGAUCAGGUUCACGCCAACCGAGAGCACAGAUACACCACCGUCUAGCCUCUUGCCACGGAGGGUACACGCUACUCUCGCCAUCUCUCCACUCCCAUUGCGUUUUAUCUUAUUCUGGUAUUAGUCUACCCAAGGCAAAGCUUACCCAUGACGAGGCAUGUGAGCAGUUAAAGUGUCCUCGGUCAGCAGGCCUACAUCGACAAGGUCCUUAAUCGACUCAGACGGAGACACAACACCGAGACUCUCUUCUCGUGCAAGUCACCCGCCCGGUCUCAGCUUUAUCAUUUCAAACCCAAAGUUUGGUACCUGACAGAGGUACAUCUUUUCCGAUGUUGAACCCAUCAAGGCCCUGAUGGAUCCACCAUCCAGUUUUAUUUUUGAAAAACAUCAUUUCAAACCCAAAGUUUGGUACCUGACAGAGGUACUCAAUUCCUAUCACUUAAUGCAUCAAGGAAGUGAGAAAGGUUUUAAAACAACAAGGAGGUGGCAAAUGCACCGGGGCUUGCCUUGUGUUAUAGGAGAGUCGGGCUCUGCUCCACAAAUAUCAAAAUAAAAGCAGUUCCCGGCAGGUGGGUCUUCAGGUGGUGGUGGUGUAGCUCUUCCUUCUUCAACCUCUAUUUCUUCUUCAUUUUCUAUACAGAACCAUAUAUAAUCAUGAAUGCUCAUGUAAUGCUUAUGAAAAUGCAAAGAUAAUAAGGUAUAUUAUCUUAGGUCUUGAAUACAAUUUUCCUUCACGGGACUCUAGGAAACUAGGGUUUUUGGAGUCAGUAUUGUAGUUCAUAGGGCAGGCAUUACUAAAAGAUUAGGGUUUUGGGGUUUAGGUACCAAACAUUAUCCAAAUCAUACCAAACUUUACCCAAGGCUUCUAAAUAACAUUUAAAGCUUAUCCAAAAAGUUUAGUGAUUUUUGGAGUUAUUAAUCAAUUCCUAAAAUUCCAGGAAUAUAGGUUUUGGCUAUUUUAAAUACUCCAUAAUUCCUUAUUUGGACUAAAAAUCAUGAAACUAUUUUUAUUAAAUACUAUAGGAAUUUAGGAAUAUAACAAAAUUGGUCUGGUAUUUUUAGCAUUUUUCUACAAUUUUUUAUGAAUUCUCUAAUCCUGGAAGAAAAAGAAAAACUAUUAACAGUGUUGGGCUGAAUUCAGCCCAAACCGGCCUGCAGAAGGGAGGACACGUGCGCGCCCACGCCCGCGCUGCCAGUCUUGCGAAAAGGCCCCUGAUGUUUUAAAUCACUUGAAAAGUGUCCAACGGACUAUUCCCAUAGUCACUGACAUCUACAAAACCCCCCUCUAGUUCUAAUUCUUCACAAGGUGAAGUCCACGACGUGGAGCGGCGUAGCAGUAGCUCCAGCGAGCUCGUUCUGGCCGGACUACGCAAUGGCCAGUGCUCUAACUUGGUUUACUCCUAAUUCAACACCUAAUAAUCGUUGCCCCUUGAUCAAUUGCACGAUCUAAGCUUAAUUGGGGUGUUCCCGAUGAUCUGGUGCGGUCUAGCUUAAUUGAAUGGGUUGAGAAGCAUUAGGAGAACAUAAGGGUGCUAAAACGGGAGAGCAAAGAGCAUGAACGGACCUAAAACUAGCUAGCCAUGGCAAGGUCACUUUGCGCGGUGUUUUGGACCGAUUUGGGGGAAUCCCAAAUUGGGGCUCUCUGGUGAACAAUUUGGGACACGAGUGGGUGUGCUGAGUGCUUGAAUACCUUGCGGAGCUGAAGGUACACUCAAUUUAUAGGAUCCAUGAGUGGUGGCGACUAAUUCAGGGAAAGACGCGCGGUGGCCGGAGAGAAGGGGUUGCUCUGGCGCAAGCAAUUGGUGGCUUUUACCGUGGCGAGCUCACCAGCGAUCACUGGAUAUAACGCGAGCUACUACGACGUGGUAAGACACCAAGGCACGUGGCGCAAGGUCGCGAGGUGGCUAUCACCGGCGAGGAUGAUUCCGAAGCGGUCAUGAGCUAGGUGGACACGGCGGCCAAAGUGAAUAGUAGCUCAAGUUCAUCCACACGAUGAUAUUUACUACCCUGAGCAACAAUCGGUACUUCUUUGAGCACGAAUCGUAGUGUCGGGCGCGAAUCCGAGCGUGUGGUCGCUGGUGGCGAGAUAACUGAUUCUGGCGAUUUGAUCUUUACACUGUACCAUCAAAACCCUGAUUUAGAGUGCUUGACAAACUGAAUUGAAAUGCCUAGAUCUCAAAUUUUUUUGCAAAUACUUGCCAAUCCAUCUGUAGCAAACUUGUAGCCCUCCACACCAGCUACAAUUCUGCUAUAGGGAUCUUGCUCAUUUGCUUAGUCCUUUGAGCAUGAAUCAAGCCCAAAGUUCCUCAAAACUCACUGAUAGGCAGUAUUCAGUCUCUGUAUUAUCUGACAGCCAGACUUCAGACACAUUUAACUCCUAAUUUUGUACAAUACCAGGGCUUAAGUACUUAAAGCAAAUUUGUACUCCUAUAGUAGCUCUACAAGUUUGAUGUGUUGACCCUAGGCAAAUUCCUAAUAUUUUUAGAACUACAGGGCUCCAAAGUUAGCCCUGUUCACUUGUGUCACACUUAGUCACAUAAGAGGUGUAGUGGCUUUUUGCAAAUAAGCCCAAACCUCAUCUUUUGACUUGGAAAUCCUCAAAUGUGUGAACCUUAUGCUUUGGGGUGCCCUAAUACCUUGGUUUUUGCCCUUGGGUCCAAAAUUGUGCAAAAUUUACAUAUAACCCCCUAGGGUUUUAACAAGGGUUUUCAAGUGGUGCGUUUAGGGUUUUUGGCACUUCUAGGGUUUGAAUGCCACUCAAGUCCAUUAAUGGUGAUAUCUUAUGACCAUUUCUAAUGAGUUUUGAAGUUUUCUCUCAUUUAGGUUUUAUUGACACUCCUAAGCCUAGUUUAGGGUUAAGUACCCUACCCUAGGGUUUCACCCAUGACCAGUCACAUCAAUAAAACUUGUUUGAAAUUUUUGCCUAGUGAAUGCACUCUAAGUGUAACAAACACAUGAUAUGCUAAUGCUCAUGAUGUUAUGCUCAAGUUUUAGUGACAGUAACACUAGGGGUGUUACAUCCUUCCCCCCAUAAAAGAAUCUUGUCCCAAGAUUUAAAAGUCCUGAGGCAAGUAAUGGAAAAGGAAACGCGUCAUAUUUUUAUUUCCUUAUUUCUGGUACAAGGUAGGGGGUGGCUUAGGGUGUACUCCUCUUUUACAAUAAUUGUACAUAUCUCAUAAUUUACAUGAAGCUAAAAAGCCUAGGAAAUUCUUUUCUAAAAAGUCUUGGGUUUCCCAAGUAGCUUCAUCUUCUACGUGUUGGUUCCAUUGUAUCUUAUAAAAUUUGAGAGUUCUCCUUCGGGUAACCCUAUCCUUUUGAUCCAGGACUCAAAUAGGAUGUUCUGAUUAUGUCAAGUCUGGUUCUAGGGCAACAUUCGUCACUUCAACUGUUCGAUCUAGAACUUGAAGACACUCCUUCAAUAGGGACACAUGGAACACGUUGUGCACUAAAGACAAUGUUUUGGGUAGUUGGAGUCGGUAUGCCACCGGUCCACACUAUUCAAGAAUGGGGAACAGACCAAUGUACCGAGGUGCAAGCUUUCCCUUUACCCCGAAACGAGAUACCCCCUUCAUGGGUGAUACUUUCAGGUAGACAUAAUCUUCAACUUGAAAGUAUAAAGGUUGGCAUCGUUUGUAUGCAUAAUUCUUUUAGCGAGCUUGUGCUUCUUUCAAAUUAUGUAUAAUUCGUUGAACUUUUUCUUCCAUUUCUUUAACGAUAUCAGGUCCGAAGAACCACCUUUCCCCGGGUUCAGACCAAUUCAAUGGAGUACGACACCGUCGUCCAUAUAAGGCUUCAAAAGGUGCCAUCUUGAUGCUUUCUUGAUAACUAUUGUUGUAUGAGAAUUCUGCCAACGGUAAACAUUCAUCCCAUUUUUGUGGGUAUUCCAGAAUGCAUGCUCGUAACAUGUCUUCAAGUAUUUGGUUUACUCUCUCAGUCUGCUCACUGGUUUGAGGAUGAUAGGCCGAGCUGUGAAGCAAUUUGGUACCCAGGGACUUAUGUAGUGCUUCCCAAAACUUGGCUACAAAUUGCGGCCCACGAUCUAACACUAUGGUCUUUGGAACUCCAUGCAGACUAAGAAUAUGAGCAAUAUAUAACUGAGCAUAGACAAUAACUGGAUGAUCUAUCUUGACGGGCAGAAAAUGGGCUAUCUUGGUAAGUAGAUCAACUAUAACCCAAAUAGAAUCAUAUCCUUUUGUUGUCCUGGGUAACCCCACAAUGAAGUCCAUGCUUAUGUCUUCCCAUUUCCAAGUUGGGAUAGGUAAAGAUUGUAAUGGACUAGCAGUUUUCAUAUGUAUGGCUUUUGACACGUCUACAGGUGUCGCAUCUUUCCACAUAGCGUGCAAUUUCGAUCUUCAUUUUUGUCCACCAAUAAUGUUGCUUUAAAUCAUGAUACAUCUUAGUGCUUCCGGGAUGAAUGGAAUAGCGACUAAGAUGAACUUCAUCCAAAAUUUACUGGCGGACCUCAUCAUUCUUGGGCACAACUAUGCGGUUAUUAAACCAUAUAAUUUCUUGAUCAUCUUUUCUGAAACAGUUUGCUUUACUGGCUUUCAUUUUGUCAUGAAUGUGUUUCAUACCCUCAUCAGUUCUUGGUGCAUCAAUUAUUCUUUGCAGAAGAACCGACUCAAGCUUCAAUUGAUUCAAUGUUCCAUGUUGAAUCAUUCCCAGGUUUAACUUCUCCAUUUCUUGGCAUAAUGUGAUGUCAGAAGUCUUCAUCGUAAGGCAAUGACAUGAAGUCUUGCGGCUUAGUGCAUCUGCCACCACGUUGGCCUUGCC
Molecule: long non-coding RNA, 13546 nt
Filed under: Zea mays
Lineage: Eukaryota; Viridiplantae; Streptophyta; Magnoliopsida; Poales; Poaceae
Description: long non-coding RNA (ZMAY_LNC000308)
Source: RNAcentral